RNAcentral lists this ribosomal RNA (247 nucleotides) under uncultured bacterium. Its description in RNAcentral is "partial 16S ribosomal RNA". It matches the Rfam family "Bacterial small subunit ribosomal RNA", at positions 127 to 353 of the family's 1533-position model. The record is from RNAcentral.
UGCCUUCAGGAUGGGGACAACAGACGGAAACGAACUGCUAAUACCGAAUAAGUUCCAAGAGCCGCAUGGCCCAUGGAAGAAAAAGGUGGCCUCUACCUGUAAGCUAUCGCCUGAAGAGGGGUUUGCGUCUGAUUAGCUGGUUGGAGGGGUAACGGCCCACCAAGGCGACGAUCAGUAGCCGGUCUGAGAGGAUGAACGGCCACACUGGAACUGAGACACGGUCCAGACUCCUACGGGAGGCAGCAUG